GUAGGUGAACCUGCGGAAGGAUCAUUAACGAAUAAACUUGGUGGACUGUUGCUGGCUCCUCAGGGGGCAUGUGCACGUCUGUCAUCUUUAUCUUUCCACCUGUGCACUUUGUGUAGAACUUGGGAGACCAUUUAACCUUUCUGAGGCAGCUCAGUCGUGAGGAUCUGCAGGCCCCCAUGUGUAGGGGUCAGCUUUCCUUGGAGGGUUCCCCAAGGCUCUAUGUUUUUCACAUACACCGAAUGAAAUGUAA
Molecule: unclassified non-coding RNA, 250 nt
Filed under: plant metagenome
Description: partial contains small subunit ribosomal RNA, internal transcribed spacer 1, and 5.8S ribosomal RNA
Source: RNAcentral